CAUUGAAUGUUCAGCUUUAUAAGAAUUAAAAUCGUACAUUCUGUCAUAAUUUUGAUGUCUAAACUUGAAUUGUAGACUGGAUUCUUACUUGUAGUAAGAAUGUUAAAGCGCGUUCGUUCAUUAAAAAUGUGUUCAGAUAUAUCCUAAUUGUUAGAUUUACUGUAUCGUUAUAGAUCAAGUUAAAUAGAUCGACUAUUUUUUUAUAGAUUGCUUUGAAUAAAUCACAUACACUGCAUCCAAUAUUAGAAACAUGUAUGUACCUUUUAUGUAGUUUAUGUAGAACAGGAGAGUAACAACAAUCCUGAUCCUACCCUAUAUUCAUAGAAAAUGCUUCUUAUAUACACAAAAUAGAAGUGUAGAUUUUACACCUCCCAUUUUAGGUUUGAUAAAAAUGUAAAUAAUUUUUAGUAAGAAUAAAAAGAAAUUGAUGUGAGAAGUAGAAUAUUAAUAUCUUGAAAUAAAGUAGAUGUAAGAUGUAUACUACAUUUUGAGAUGUACCGAUAGCAUUACUCCUAUUCAAAUGCGUAAAGUUUAUGCCCAUAAAUUUUUUAUUAUUCUUAUUAGGUUGGAUUAUAUUUUACUAUACUAUAUUUUACUGUUAAUUUUAUUUGCCAUAUUAUAUAUAUAUAGAGAGAGAGAGAAAGAGUUAGGCUGGUAUACUAUCGGUAGCACGGAGCCCUCCGUGCUACCAAGUUGUUUUCAAUGAUACGGCUUCCAAAUCGAUGAUCGGCUCCGUUAGACUUGAUCUACACUAUUGAAAGUAUUUGUAAACUAAAUUUUAUAAUUUUUCGGCAUCAUUUACCUAUCAAACGAGUAGUCUAAAAAUAAACGGCUGAAAAUAAAAAUCUCGUAAAAAAUGAUGAUAAAAGACUUGAAUUUAAGAUCAGAGAUACUGAUCUUAUCCUAAAUAGUGAAAAAAAUUUUCUAUAAAAAUUUUAUCAGAUUUGAAUUGUUUUAUACCGUUAAAUUCACAAACAUAUCAUAUUUACCAUUAAAAUUGUCAAUUUUGAGACCUUUUGAUCACUAGUGAAAUGAUGCUGAAAAAUUAUGAAAUUUAGUUUCCAA
Molecule: long non-coding RNA, 1065 nt
Filed under: Ananas comosus (pineapple)
Lineage: Eukaryota; Viridiplantae; Streptophyta; Magnoliopsida; Poales; Bromeliaceae
Description: long non-coding RNA (ACOM_LNC013952)
Source: RNAcentral